GCAUGGCUUUGGAUUUAAGAGAGAAUGUAUCCCGUGAUUCACUCUUAGUGUACUCCAUGCUAUAUAAAUAACCUACUCAAAACCAUUGUCUGGCCUGGAAAUGUUGUAGGCUUGGUACACUGAUGUGAGUAGUACAACA
Small nucleolar RNA from Acipenser ruthenus (sterlet), 139 nucleotides. RefSeq annotates it as small nucleolar RNA SNORA42/SNORA80 family. NCBI's taxonomy places the organism in Eukaryota, Metazoa, Chordata, Actinopteri, Acipenseriformes, Acipenseridae. The transcript has a single exon. The record is from RefSeq and is a predicted model, not a curated record.